GAGUAUUCUUUCUUUGGAGUGCUUUAAGUGACACUUCACUUCGACAUUUGGAUCUAAUUGUUGCUAACCUUGUUUUCUUAACAUUGUUUGUUCUUGUGUUUGCUGUUUUUCUUUUCUAAUGGAUACCUAUUCAAGUGUUGAAUCUUCAAAGCCACGCUCUACUCAUAGAGCUUAUGUUCUUAAUGAGUUAAAAGAAGCAAAAAAGGCUCUUGCUCAAAAGGAUGAAGAAUUGCAAAGAUUAGAAGCACGUUUGGCCAAAAUUGAAUUGAAGCAAGAAGGAGUUGCCCAUUCUUU
This 294-nucleotide long non-coding RNA is filed under the name Phaseolus vulgaris (common bean). RNAcentral's name for it is "long non-coding RNA (PVUL_LNC004058)". The record is from RNAcentral. Lineage: Eukaryota; Viridiplantae; Streptophyta; Magnoliopsida; Fabales; Fabaceae.